This 460-nucleotide ribosomal RNA is filed under the name uncultured bacterium. RNAcentral's name for it is "partial 16S ribosomal RNA". It matches the Rfam family "Bacterial small subunit ribosomal RNA", at positions 338 to 795 of the family's 1533-position model. The record is from RNAcentral.
CCUACGGGUGGCAGCAGUGAGGAAUAUUGGUCAAUGGGCGAGAGCCUGAACCAGCCAAGUCGCGUGAGGGAAGACGGUCCUAUGGAUUGUAAACCUCUUUUGUCGGGGAGCAAAAAGGCCUCGUGAGGCCACAAGUGAGAGUACCUGAAGAAAAAGCAUCGGCUAACUCCUUGCCAGCAGCCGCGGUAAUACGGGGGAUGCGAGCGUUAUUCGGAUGUAUUGGUGUUAAAGGGUGCUUGGGCGGACUGGACAGUCGGCGGUAAAAUCGAUAGGUCCAAACUCGUUCCGCCGUUGAAACUGUCGGUCUUGAGUGGGCGAGAGGUAUGCGGAAUGCGUGGUGUAGCGGUGAAAUGCAUAGAUAUCACGCAGAACUCCGAUUGCGAAGGCAGCAUACCGGCGCCCGACUGACGCUGAGGCACGAAAGCGUAGGUAUCGAACAGGAUUAGAUACCCCAGUAGUC